Molecule: unclassified non-coding RNA, 1146 nt
Filed under: Zea mays
Lineage: Eukaryota; Viridiplantae; Streptophyta; Magnoliopsida; Poales; Poaceae
Description: misc RNA Zm00001eb051820
Source: RNAcentral
CCCUAUGCCAUUGUGGCGCUGCGUUUCAAAGAUGAACCGGUAGAACACAUUGUUGAUGGCCUUGCGAAUGAAUGGUCGGUGUACCAUGAACUUGCCAUAGAUGCGGUGGAGCACGGUCUUGAGGUACUCGCGCUCACGCGGAUCCUCGGAGUCAAAGAGGUCGAGGAGACGGAGGACGAAGGCGUGGUCCACAUACCGCUUGGCGACCUUGGUGUCGGUGUCGGGCGAAACAACGUAUCGGAGAAGGAGCUCAUAGACGAGCUGGAGGUGUGGCCAGGAGGGGUCGAGGUAUGGCUCCUCCUCCUCGUCGGGCGCGGCGCCGGGGUCGAUCGCGGCGGCGGAUUCGUGCAGCGCGGGUGGCAGCGGGCGGAAGAUGUUGGCAGAGAUGGCGGCGACGAGCGCCUCCUGGACGUGGUCCGGGAGGCGCGUGGGUGCGUUGGCGCCCGCAGCCUGAGCUGGAGCCUGCACGUAAUCGACGAGCUCGAGGAGAGCCUGGCGUUUGGCCUCCUUCUCCCGCGGGUGCUUGAGCGAGUCCGAAAGGUCAAAGAGCGCGGCGACGAUGCGGAGCUUGCGGAGGAAGAGGCCCGGGCGAUCCGCGGCGGCGACGUCGCGGAGGAGCGGGAGCGGCUCGAGGAGUGGCGGCGACGCCGCCCCCGCCGGGUUGGUCGCAAGCGCAGACGGCGCCACGUGCGGCGAAGUGGGCGAGGACGGCGAAGGCGCUGUGGCCCGGGAGGCGUGGUUGACGGUGACGGGCGCGGCUGCCCCCGCGCCGCCGCCGCCGCUCCCGGAGGACGAGGAGGGCGCUGCGGGGCGCGCGGCGGCCUCCGCGUUGUCCCCGCGCGCGCCCUUGCGGUUUCCCCUCUUGAUGAUCUUGUUGAACAUGGCGGCAGCGGCGGAUUGGGGUGCCGACGGCAGUGGAUCGGCCGAUCGGUCAGGCGACGAAUUCCCUCCUCGUGCCUCCGGGAUUUGGGGAUUUGGUGGCGACGGUAAGGGGGCGCUGUGGGGCCCAGGUGGAAGGGAAAGAACAGUGGCGAGGUGGGGUCAGUCGGUCAGGCUCGGCGAGGGCAGGGGAGGAGGCGGCAUGGCUCUCGCUGGCGAUUUUGGAGACGAGUGGAGGGGGGAGGGGAUCGAUGUGGAGGAAGAAGG